AGCCUGAACGCUGGCGGCGUGGCUAAGACAUGCAAGUCGCACGGUGUAGCAAUACACAGUGGCGAACGGGUGAGUAAUGAAUCGCUAAUGUACCCCGGACUCUGGGAUAGCUGCCCGAAAGGGCAGGUAAUACCAGAUAAUAUAACUUGGUCGCAUGACCAAGUUCUCAAAGGUCCGCCGGUCUGGGAGCAGGCGAUUUCGUAUCAGCUAGUUGGUGAGGUAACGGCUCACCAAGGCGACGACGCGUAGCCGGACUGAGAGGUUGGCCGGCCACAUUGGGACUGAGACACUGCCCAGACUCCUACGGGGGGCUGCAGUAACGAAUCUUCCGCAAUGCACGAAAGUGUGACGGAGCGACGCCGCGUGGAGGACGAAGUUCUUCGGAAUGUAAACUCCUGUCAGAGGAAGAAAGUUCUGAUCUACCUCAGAGGAAGAGGCGGCUAACUCUGUGCCAGCAGCCGCGGU
RNAcentral lists this ribosomal RNA (465 nucleotides) under uncultured bacterium. RNAcentral's name for it is "SSU rRNA". It matches the Rfam family "Bacterial small subunit ribosomal RNA", at positions 26 to 521 of the family's 1533-position model. The record is from RNAcentral.